Molecule: ribosomal RNA, 493 nt
Filed under: Lacticaseibacillus rhamnosus
Lineage: Bacteria; Bacillati; Bacillota; Bacilli; Lactobacillales; Lactobacillaceae
Description: partial 16S ribosomal RNA
Rfam family: Bacterial small subunit ribosomal RNA
Source: RNAcentral
ACGCAUUAAGCAUUUCCGCCUGGGGAGUACGACCGCAAGGUUGAAACUCAAAAAAAAAAAAACGGGGGCCCCGCACAAGCGGUGGAGCAUGUGGUUUAAUUCGAAGCAACGCGAAGAACCUUACCAGGUCUUGACAUCUUUUGAUCACAAAAGAGAUCAGGUUUCCCCUUCGGGGGCAAAAUGACAGGUGGUGCAUGGUUGUCGUCAGCUCGUGUCGUGAGAUGUUGGGUUAAGUCCCGCAACGAGCGCAACCCUUAUGACUAGUUGCCAGCAUUUAGUUGGGCACUCUAGUAAGACUGCCGGGGAAAAACCGGAGGAAGGUGGGGAUGACGUCAAAUCAUCAUGCCCCUUAUGACCUGGGCUACACACGUGCUACAAUGGAUGGUACAACGAGUUGCGAGACCGCGAGGUCAAGCUAAUCUCUUAAAGCCAUUCUCAGUUCGGACUGUAGGCUGCAACUCGCCUACACGAAGUCGGAAUCGCUAGAUCGCGA